GAAUUUGUCUACACAAGAAUUUCCAACUUGAAGUACUGUCUUGCCAAUAGUAGUUCAUGCUCUAUUUAAUUUGUUGUUUCACUAUUUUUUCUUAGUCUCUGAGGUAGAUAAAUGCCUUGAAGAAAGAUUAAGAACGAUCAAAACUUUGGAGGGAGAAGACAUGUCCAAUUAAGAGAUUUGCUUUAGAUGUGUUGAUAGGUAAGCUCUUCCUAGACAACUGCAAUAUGUCAAUCUUUGACUGAGAUCCUCUAGAGAAAAUGUCAUGGAGGCAUACCUUGACUGGGUUUUCAAAGACUAGGAGGGCAGUCUACUUGGCCUAUGAGGCUCAAAUUGUAAGUGCAACAAGAGGGAUGGGUCAUUGGGUCAAAAUUCUUAAAGCUCCCAAUGAAGACGCCUUAGUAGGAGUAAGGUUGCGACUUUGUGAUGAGAAGUGUUACUUCCUAAAUGUUGAAAACUCAAAUUGAAAUAUGUUUUUGGUAACUAUAUCUCUGCUUUCUCUUAGACUCUGCAUUAUAUUGUUGGCAUUAACUACUAUGAAAUCAGUUCAAUUAAUCCUACUACUAGCUUUUGUCUUA
Molecule: long non-coding RNA, 575 nt
Organism: Vitis riparia (riverbank grape)
Lineage: Eukaryota; Viridiplantae; Streptophyta; Magnoliopsida; Vitales; Vitaceae
Exons: 2
Source: RefSeq, a predicted model, not a curated record